RNAcentral lists this ribosomal RNA (2119 nucleotides) under Triticum aestivum (bread wheat). Its description in RNAcentral is "partial small subunit ribosomal RNA". The record is from RNAcentral. Lineage: Eukaryota; Viridiplantae; Streptophyta; Magnoliopsida; Poales; Poaceae.
CUUUUUAUACCAAUAGGAAUAGGACGACCUAUCCCUACGGGUAUCGGGGGGUCGUAGAGGAAGAUAGGUUUGCGUAGGAGCCUAAACCAAAUUGCUCGUAGAAGAGUCUCUCGUCACGUCCACGUCGUGUGCUCUAACUCUUUUUAGUUGUGGGUGCGGCAGGCUUAGCUACUCGUCGCCGCCGCCGCUGCUGCUACGCCCCCGACCCCUGCCGCCCGCCCGGCUCACCGUCGCGUAGAUGCUGGCCCAGCUCCGCGAGCGGCGGCCAGCGCGCGCCGACCUCCGCGCGUUGUCCUGGGUCGUACUCAAGACCCUGCGGGCGCUGUUCUAGUUGGUGAGGGCGGAGGUGGUCCGCCUCGACUCGUCUUCGUCCACCCUCCGCCGGACGUCCCUCGACGAGGGAAGGCUACUAGGGUUCGAGCGGCUUGACGAUCUCUCACUAAACCUCCUAAGUUCUUGAACACUUCGAGAGAACCUGUGGCUUUUGAAUCUUGACGACCAUGUUGACUUCCUUCUACCUUGAACACAUCUCGAAUUACUUUUGUGACGUCUAGUACUCGUGUGAAGGCCUCUAAAUUAUAGUCUUGAUUCUUUCAAUUUCGCUUAGAUACUCUGGGAAGAUCUCCCAUUCGAUUUACUUAACUUGAGGAACCUAUUCCUCUUACUGUUGGUCUUCGAGUUUCAACGCUUUAGAUUCUGUGAAUUUGCGUUCAAACGGAGGAAUAGUUUAUAUGUUAGUUUCCUUCGACCUUUAACACACCUCUGAUAAGUUCUCUUACGCCUAGUACCCCGGUAGCGUUCUCUAAAUUCUCGUCUCGAGUCUUUUGACUUCGUUCGAAUACUCUGGGAAUCGAGUUUGUUCCUAUUCCUUUAAAGACGUGGUGAACGUCACCUCCUAAAAGAAAACUUGUUUGACGACUCUUAACUGUUCCUGUUGCGUCCCGAGGAAUUCUAUUUCCUUCACCUCCGUCGUGUUCGAUUGCUUCGUCGUGUUUUCGAAGUCGUCUGACAUCUCCUUGACGUUCACCGCCAGGCUAUAUUCCUACUACUCUAACCGUCUAAUGCUCGUCUUCGCCCCGGGGAAUUCUAUUUCCUUCACCUCCGUCGUGUUCGAUCGUUUCGUCACGUUUACGAAGUCGUUUCACAUCUCCUCGACGUUCACCGUCAGCCUUUAUUUCUACUACUCUAACCGUUUAACCCUCGUCUUCGACGAUCACAUCUUUUUUACCAUGACUGAGAACUCCCAUUCGAUGACCUUUACGUCAGGAACCAAUUCCUCUUUUUACUACUUUAUGUUUUUGACUUUUUACCCGUUGGACUCUCAGACUUUACGUUUACACGAAGAAGAUAUGGUCAACUCAAGCACUCCGUCUACGGGGAAAAGCUGCUCACCCCCGACGCGGGCCGGCCGGAACUUCCCGGGGCGCUCUUGGGGCGGGAACACCAAGGAAACGGGCGGCAGGGACGCCGCGCGGGGGGUCUCCACCUACGUCCCCCCGCUCGCGGCGGCUCACGGCGACCCCGUCCACGACCUCUCUACUACGUCGGGCCGCGAAGACUCUGCAGUCGGGGGCUCCGAGCCCACUCGACGGGACUCCCCCACCGUCCUCUCUACCGAGUUAGGUUCCGAGGACUCCAGCGGCGGGGGCUUCGAACCCACUCGUCAGGACUCCACCUCCGACCCCUCGACCGUGCCGGACUGCGAGGGCUCCAGCGGUGGGGUCCCCGGGGCGGCUUGCUGGGUCUGCGGCUGCGAGAGCGGAGAACGCGGAGCGCGGAACCGGGCGAGGCGUAUUUGAAGCUUCGUGAGGCGUUCUACUUUGGCUCACCAGCACGGAUAGCCGACGACUUCGGCUCCUACAUGUAUCGGUAUCUGCUCAUUCAUGGAAUAGAAGCGCUAAAGGACGCACAACACGGGAAAGGAGUGUUACCGAGAAGUCCGGCACUCCUUACCCUCGUUCCCUAGGCUUCGGUACCAAAUCGAAACAACCAUAACCACAGACGAAGGGAAGAAGUCAGGUCUCAAAGCCGCAUGGAUAAUUGACCCUGUAGUACUCAUGCACCGAGCCUGGUUGAUCAUCUAAAACGACUAACGCGCAUAGUGCACUUACUCUACAGG